RNAcentral lists this ribosomal RNA (253 nucleotides) under uncultured bacterium. RNAcentral describes it as "partial 16S ribosomal RNA". It matches the Rfam family "Bacterial small subunit ribosomal RNA", at positions 524 to 776 of the family's 1533-position model. The record is from RNAcentral.
AACGUAGGAGACAAACGUUAUCCGGAGUUACUGGGCGUAAAGGGCGUGUAGGCGGUCUGUUAAGUCUGGCGUGAAAGCUCUCGGCUAAACCGGGAGAGGUCGUUGGAUACUGGCAGACUAGAGGACGGUAGAGGCGUGUGGAAUUCCGGGUGUAGUGGUGAAAUGCGUAGAGAUCCGGAGGAACACCAGUGGCGAAGGCGACGCGCUGGGCCGUACCUGACGCUAAAGCGCGACAGCAUGGGGAGCAAACGGG